Molecule: long non-coding RNA, 3462 nt
Organism: Oreochromis niloticus (Nile tilapia)
Lineage: Eukaryota; Metazoa; Chordata; Actinopteri; Cichliformes; Cichlidae
Exons: 3
Source: RefSeq, a predicted model, not a curated record
CUUUCCAGAAUUUCAUCACAGCAUUUCAUGGUUCUUGUGACUGAACUUGGUGUCUUUUGGUGAUUAAGUGCUGCUUUGCUUUUCUUAGCUGAGCGGGGAAAACAAUUACCCAAUGAAUUACCAACGUAGGCAGAUAGGACUGUUUUUAUGUAUACCAGCAGUAGCUCAACACAGCACAACUGAUGGUCUCAUUAGAGGGUGAGAAAUCCCACAAACUAACUUUUGACAAGUUGUCUGUUAAUUAAAAAGCACCCCGGGCAUUAAUGCUGGCAAGGAUACUGCCUUUCUUUUGUAAAGUUGUGAUCACAGCAAACACUUUGAUGGAUCUAAAAUCUGACACAUAUUCAUGAAAUUAUAUACAGGUUUUAUUUGCCUUCAGUACCUUAUUAAUUUUGUGUUUAGUCUAUAUAUUCUUACUGGUUUUAUUAUGUGACUCAUAUCUCUCUUCAAUGUUCUCAUAUUUUAUUGUAAUUUAUUAUCAGAGUCAUUUAUUUCCAUGCUUACACUAUAUGUUUACUUUUAUCUUUGCUGGGCUAUAUUAGAAAUGAGAUCACUGCCUUGGUGUUUCUCAGUAAGAAUAAAAAGCUGAUGAAAGCUAAACUUUUUAGAUCGCAGACUAAUUGAUGACACUAGAUUGCCUCACUCCCACUUUGUAGAAUAAACCAAACCAAAGAAGUAAAAGGUUUAGUGAUUGAAUAAAUGCAAGCAAACUUGCUUUUAUUUGAGCACUCAUUCAACCAUCAGCUCCCAAUGGAUCCUUCACUGCACUAAACCAUCUCCUCUUCUGUCAAACGCAGAGGAAUUUCUUUCUCUGACCUGCCAAGUUGGUCGGUAAAAGCUUUCAGCAGAUUUUGAACCUGAUCCCCGACCAGCAACUUGUUACUUCUGCACCACAUAGCAAUUAAUGAAAUAUUUUUCCUUUACCAUGGUAACUUCCUGCACAGCUAAACAGAGAUGCUGAAUGGACUUCAGAAAAAAAGAACGAGGAGCUGCAUGAGAAUGAGCACAGAGGGAGAGGGAGGCCAGUGUAGAUGUAAAUACAACUGAAAGACCUUUUUCUAACAGGGCAUGGAGACAAAUCUUACUAUAAUACACCAAAUCUCUGACUGGGAGCAACCAAACCUGGCACGCAGCAGCAGCUGCAGGCUGUUGGAGGCCUGCUGCCUGACCGGCCGGCCAGUUGGCUGAAGCAGAAAAGACACUCAGAGUUUCUUUGAGAGCAGAGCAGAGAUCAAGCUGCUGGGAGCCAGAAAAGAGGGAGCAAAAUUAACGAGUUCUACAAAGAAGUCCAGUCUUCUGUGUACUGUAAACUCUCUACUGCAUUCUAGGUACUAAGGGCUGGAAUGAGAGUUCCUCUGUUGGAAAUUAAAGAGCCAUUUAAGUCAAAUAGCACAAUGAGUUACCCACUGUUGUAUCUGGUGCUUUCUAGAGUCCAAAUAUAACAUAUUACAGCUACAAUAGAUAUCAGUGUAUUGCAUGAGAAUCGGGGUUGGAUUAAUUGGAUAGUGUUAUAUGUGUAUAAUUCAGGAAACCUCAAGUUUUCUGUGUGGUUGAAUUGGUAGAUAUAGAUAUUCACUUUAAUUUCAUUUCAUUUUUACACCACCAAAUCACAACAGCUGCUUCAAGGUGCAGGAUUUUACCAACAUGGAACUGCCACAGAGUCGCAGAUCUACAAAUCCUAACAGGCGUUGGACUCCAGCUUCAUUGGAGCUGGAGGAGUUUGUCUACAGGGAACUGUGUGCAUGUCUUGAAAUGGUUUACAUUGUUACAUCUAAUGCAGGUGUGUCACGAUACACUGAAACUGAUGAACCGAUGAGUGAUAUUUAAAAAUUAAAUAUCGAUAAUAACAAUAAUCAUCUAUCCUCUUCCGCUUAUCCAGUUCAGGGUCAAGGGGAGUCUAUCCCAGCUACUGUAAGGUGAGCCAAGGUACACCACAGUCAGGUCGCCAGUCUAUCACAGGGCUAACACUGAGAGACAGACAAUCAGUCGCACUUGUAUUCACACCUAUAGGCAAUCUCUUGGGCUAUGGGAGGAAGCCGGAGUACCCAAAGACACAUGAAGAACCUGCACACUCAAUACAGAAAGGCCAGAUGGUGAAUUUUAACCCAGGGCCGUCUUGCUGUGAGGCAAAAGUCCUAACCACAUUAUACUAAUAUUAAUCCAGCAGCAGUAAGUACUGAAGCUUGAGGCUUGGCAAAAACGACUCUAUUUGUUCUUUCUGACCAGUUAUCUUGCAACAACUAACUUCUUCUCAGCUGCUACUGCAGUAUCAGUGAGAGUUAAAGAGACAGGAAUUUUGGGAUGUGGAUAAUUUCCUUAUUGAUUAACAUCAAUCUCACUGAAUAGUUUAAAAGUAAGAAAACACUUAAAACAGCGAAAUCUGAGCAGUGUAAUGGACAAGGUUAAAUUCAGUCUGUAGAAAUACUUUGGAUAUACUGUGGGGGAAAUUCUGGAGAAAAGCAAUCUCUGCAGCUUCUGUAGCUUCUCAGCAUCCUACAGCUGGAGGGUACCUUAGCCAAAACUAGCAUAACACUUUCUAUCUCACAACAAGGGCGUGCAUAAAUAUAAGCAACAAAUGAAGGACCAAAGAAAAAGUAAAUUGAUUAAAGUUGUCAUCUCUGGUCCUUCUGCUUUGAACCAUCUUUUUUACAGUGUUAUUAGAGUGCAGUUGUAAGUCAGUAGAGCACUCUUAAUAUGUUUAAUGUGUCACUGGGAAUAUGAAAUUUUGAUUAACAUCUCAGUGCAGGAGUAAAUGAAUCACCAUUCAGCUGGUUAACUAACAGCAAUGAGAGCACAUUGCAAGGUUGCUUAUCCAUAAAAAUCCGUUUGCAUGUAGAUACUAGCUGUGCAUUAUUUCAAAUUAAAAUUCUGAUAUUAAACACUGUAGAGCUUCUAUUACCAAGCAUCAUAUUAACGUGCAUUUUACAUUUCCCCCCAAAUAGACUGAUGCUUCCGUUUCAGUUUUAAGCUGAAUGAAUGAGUUAUUUUCAUAACCUUCAAAAACCCUGGAAAAAAUCUCUGCAACUCCGUCAACAACACAUCAAGGUGCAGUCUCGGAGGAUGCGGGGUAGAGAGUGGGUGUGGGGUGAGGGGGUGAAGGUGUGUAUAUGUGCAGAGAGGCAUCCCAAGGCCAAUUUCAGUGUACCAUCACAUGUUUGAGUAUCUUUGUAAUAAAUAAUGAAAGCAAAUAUAUAUAUUUUUAAAAUUCCUGUUUAAGUGGAAAGCUUGAAGUACACGAUACUACACCAAGUGAGUCCAAAUAAUGCUGGAGUUGUACAUAGUCAUUGUACCACGACAUGUAAAACAUUUAAUCUGAACAUUUUAAAAAAUGUUUGCACACACUGAAAUUAAUUACAGUCCAUUUUCUGUGUUUCUGGUAUGUGUCAUUGUUUCAUAUACAUGUCAUAUAGAUAUAAAUAACAUACCAUUUGAUGUCAACAUAUUUUUGUUACAUUUGCAGUG